Molecule: ribosomal RNA, 253 nt
Filed under: uncultured bacterium
Lineage: Bacteria
Description: partial 16S ribosomal RNA
Rfam family: Bacterial small subunit ribosomal RNA
Source: RNAcentral
UACAGAGGUCUCAAGCGUUGUUCGGAGUUACUGGGCGUAAAGGGUGUGUAGGCGGUUCCUUAAGUUUGCUGUGAAAUCUCCCGGCUUAACCGGGAGGGUGCGGUGAAUACUGAGGGACUAGAGUACGGGAGAGGAAAGUGGAAUUCCUGGUGUAGCGGUGAAAUGCGUAGAUAUCAGGAGGAACACCGGUGGUGUAGACGGCUUUCUGGACCGUAACUGACGCUGAGACACGAAAGCGUGGGUAGCAAACAGG